Molecule: ribosomal RNA, 219 nt
Filed under: uncultured bacterium
Lineage: Bacteria
Description: partial 16S ribosomal RNA
Rfam family: Bacterial small subunit ribosomal RNA
Source: RNAcentral
ACGCUCGACACCUACGGGAGGUAGCAGUGAGGAAUAUUGGUCAAUGGACGCAAGUCUGAACCAGCCAUGCCGCGUGCAGGAUGACGGCUCUAUGAGUUGUAAACUGCUUUUGUACGAGGGUAAACGCAGAUACGUGUAUCUGUCUGAAAGUAUCGUACGAAUAAGGAUCGGCUAACUCCGUGCCAGCAGCCGACGGUAAUCUGAGCGGGCUGGCAAGGC